This 483-nucleotide ribosomal RNA is filed under the name uncultured Desulfuromonas sp. RNAcentral describes it as "bacterial SSU rRNA". It matches the Rfam family "Bacterial small subunit ribosomal RNA", at positions 910 to 1382 of the family's 1533-position model. Lineage: Bacteria; Pseudomonadati; Thermodesulfobacteriota; Desulfuromonadia; Desulfuromonadales; Desulfuromonadaceae. The record is from RNAcentral.
GGUAAAGUUGACGGGGGCCCGCACAAGCGGUGGAGCAUGUGGUUUAAUUCGACGCAACGCGAAGAACCUUACCUGGGCUUGACAUCCCGAUCGUACCUGCUGGAAACAGCGGGGUCAGUUCGGCUGGAUCGGAGACAGGUGCUGCAUGGCUGUCGUCAGCUCGUGUCGUGAGAUGUUGGGUUAAGUCCCGCAACGAGCGCAACCCUUGUCCUUAGUUGCCAUCAUUUAGUUGGGCACUCUAAGGAGACUGCCGGUGUUAAACCGGAGGAAGGUGGGGAUGACGUCAAGUCCUCAUGGCCCUUAUGUCCAGGGCUACACACGUGCUACAAUGGCCGGUACAAAGGGCAGCAAAGCCGCGAGGUGGAGCCAAUCCCAGAAAGCCGGUCUCAGUUCGGAUUGGAGUCUGCAACUCGACUCCAUGAAGUUGGAAUCGCUAGUAAUCGCGGAUCAGCAUGCCCGCGGUCGAAUACGUUCCCGGGCCUU